RNAcentral lists this ribosomal RNA (586 nucleotides) under uncultured Alphaproteobacteria bacterium. RNAcentral's name for it is "bacterial SSU rRNA". It matches the Rfam family "Bacterial small subunit ribosomal RNA", at positions 1 to 574 of the family's 1533-position model. Lineage: Bacteria; Pseudomonadati; Pseudomonadota; Alphaproteobacteria. The record is from RNAcentral.
GGGAGCUCUCCCAUAUGGUCGACCUGCAGGCGGCCGCGAAUUCACUAGUGAUUAGAGUUUGAUCCUGGCUCAGAACGAACGCUUUCGGUAUGCUUAACACAUGCAAGUCGAACGGAUUUAUUUAGAGCUUGCUUUAAAUAAAUUAGUGGCAGACGGGUGAGUAACACGUGGGAAUCUGCCCAUCAGUACGGAAUAACAUUUAGAAAUAAUUGCUAAUACCGUAUAUUCUCUUUGGAGGAAAGAUUUAUCGCUGAUGGAUGAGCCCGCGCCAGAUUAGGUAGUUGGUAGGGUAAUGGCCUACCAAGCCAAUGAUCUGUAGCUGGUUUGAGAGAAUGAUCAGCCACACUGGGACUGAGACACGGCCCAGACUCCUACGGGAGGCAGCAGUGGGGAAUAUUGGACAAUGGGCGAAAGCCUGAUCCAGCAAUGCCGCGUGAGUGAUGAAGGCCUUAGGGUUGUAAAGCUCUUUUACCCGGGAUGAUAAUGACAGUACCGGGAGAAUAAGCUCCGGCUAACUCCGUGCCAGCAGCCGCGGUAAUACGAAUCGAAUUCCCGCGGCCGCCAUGGCGGCCGGGAGCAUGCGACG